This 459-nucleotide ribosomal RNA is filed under the name uncultured bacterium. RNAcentral's name for it is "partial 16S ribosomal RNA". It matches the Rfam family "Bacterial small subunit ribosomal RNA", at positions 338 to 795 of the family's 1533-position model. The record is from RNAcentral.
CCUACGGGAGGCAGCAGUGAGGAAUAUUGGUCAAUGGUCGGGAGACUGAACCAGCCAAGCCGCGUGAGGGAUGAAGGUACAGAGUAUCGUAAACCUCUUUUGUCAGGGAACAAAGGCGGGGACGUGUCCCCGGAUGAGUGUACCUGAAGAAAAAGCAUCGGCUAACUCCGUGCCAGCAGACGCGGUAAUACGGAGGAUGCGAGCGUUAUCCGGAUUUAUUGGGUUAAAAGGGUGCGCGGGCGGUCUGUUAAGUCAGCGGUCAAAGCCCGGGGCUCAACCCGGGCCCGCCGUUGAAACUGGCAGUCGCGAGUUGGAGAGAAGUAUGCGGAAGGCGCGGUGUAGCGGUGAAAUGCAUAGAUAUCGCGCAGAACUCCGAUUGCGAAGGCAGCAUGCCGGCUCCACACUGACGCUGAGGCACGAAAGCGUGGGUAUCGAACAGGAUUAGAUACCCGUGUAGUC